Molecule: non-coding RNA, 147 nt
Filed under: Nomascus leucogenys (northern white-cheeked gibbon)
Lineage: Eukaryota; Metazoa; Chordata; Mammalia; Primates; Hylobatidae
Source: Rfam by way of RNAcentral
GCUGGGUGUGGUGGCGCGCGCCUGUAGUCCCAGCUACUGGGAGGCUGAGGCAGGAGAAUCACUUGAACCCAGGAGGCGGAGGUUGCAUUGAGCCAAGAUAGUGCUACUGCACUCCAACCUGGGUGACAGAGCAAGACUCUGUCUCAA